This is a small RNA of 107 nucleotides. It matches the Rfam family "RcsR1 sRNA". From Rfam's summary of the family: RcsR1 (rhizobial cold and salinity stress riboregulator 1) trans-acting sRNA, formerly known as SmelC587, is a stress-related riboregulator, conserved in Sinorhizobium, Rhizobium and Agrobacterium. In S. meliloti RcsR1 less conserved central region is responsible for the species-specific interaction with the 5'UTR of autoinducer synthase encoding mRNA sinI. The interaction negatively influences sinI translation. The record is from Rfam.
UCAGCAUGAACUGGUGGUGGGCCCGCUGACAGCGGCCUCGACCCCUCAUGCGUUUGAGAUGCGUGAUUGAGACGACAAGCCGCCCGAACAUUCGAGGCGGCUUUUUU